Molecule: long non-coding RNA, 1251 nt
Filed under: Bemisia tabaci
Lineage: Eukaryota; Metazoa; Arthropoda; Insecta; Hemiptera; Aleyrodidae
Description: lncRNA ENSSWEETPG000810
Source: RNAcentral
GACACAAGAAUUGACCAGACUUCCAGUAGAGACAACCAAACAGGAUCGACCUACCUUGUUGAAAAACACUUGAAAAAAAACAGUCGAUUCACUGGACUUACUUGACUCCAUGUUCAAAGUAUGUACAUAUUCUUUUUGUCUUAUAUUUGGUUACUACUCUUCCUGGAAAUUUUGAGAAAUCAUUCUGAAGCAGUGAGGUUUUUUAAGGACUUUCUGGAAAUGCGCCUGAGUCUGACGAGAAAAAUAGGUUGAAGCAAAAGAAUCCAGAGUUAGUAUGGUCAAAGACAGCCCUCAAUUAGACACAAGUUUGGUGAUCCUAGAAAUGCAAAGAUCGAGCUAAAAGCCAAUAUUAAAUAGAUACAAUGUAAUUCAACUACAACUACAUGAUGCUAAAGUUACAAGCAAGCAAUUAAUGAAAGAUAUAUAAACUCACAAAAAUAACAGAGGCUCUCAUUUUGACCCAUAGGCCAUAGAUCUUCUUCAGUGCUUAGUCGGAAAAAAAUGGAAACAUUCUAGAAUAGAUGAGAGCUGAAACUACAAAGCAAUCCAAAACUAGUAGAAAUUUGUAGUUUCCGCUUUAUUCCUGCGAUGUACACUAUAUUUAUCGGCAUGUGGGAAGCUUUCAUCGCAAGUGCCAAUGAAGAUAUACUCAGUUUUUUCUUUGAUUUCCAGAGCAUUAUUUCCGAGAUUGAAAACUGCGACUCAAACGAUCUUAAAGAAGUUCUGCUGGUGUUAGGAGCAACUAUUCUAAGUCCUCAAAACGUAUUCCGGAUAAAAAUCCCGCAGAUAGAAAAACUGCAUUCAGAUAAAUAUCAUCCACCAAGAAAGCAACUUUUCAAUGUUCUCAGGUCACUGGUGGGCACUUCAAAUUUCGCAGAUCUUAUGUGUAAAGAAAUUAGCUCUAAAAAUUUAUUCAUUUUCUUGAAACUGAACGCAAGUUACUGCGUCAAGUCAAGUCAUCUACUUCCGAAAGAGAACUUCAGCUUACCAUUGAGAGCUCAAGAGUCGAUUAUCAAUAUACUUACAUCAGAUGGAAGUUCUGCAGAUUGUUGUUGUUCGGGUAUAAAAAUUUUCAAUGACUCCAAUGUGGAGACCUCUCCUGCGCGGGCAGAUAGUGAAAAUUCCGCCACCACUUUAGACAUCGGCAACGAAAGCCUGACGUCUUGGUAUCAAUUCAAAUCCCCCUUUGUGGGAUUCAAAGAUGAGAAAGUAAAUGGUGUGUCAAUUGUGAAUCUAUGGAUGAAAUCAUGA